RNAcentral lists this ribosomal RNA (497 nucleotides) under uncultured bacterium. RNAcentral's name for it is "partial 16S ribosomal RNA". It matches the Rfam family "Bacterial small subunit ribosomal RNA", at positions 28 to 507 of the family's 1533-position model. The record is from RNAcentral.
GAUGAACGCUGGCGGCGUGCCUAAUACAUGCAAGUCGAGCGAACAGACGAGGAGCUUGCUCCGCUGACGUUAGCGGCGGACGGGUGAGUAACACGUGGAUAACCGACCUAUAAGACUGGGAUAACUUCGGGAAACCGGAGCUAAUACCGGAUAACAUGUUGAACCGCAUGGUUCAACAGUGAAAGACGGUCUUGCUGUCACUUAUAGAUGGGUCCGCGCCGCAUUAGCUAGUUGGUAAGGUAACGGCUUACCAAGGCAACGAUGCGUAGCCGACCUGAGAGGGUGAUCGGGUCCACGAGAACUGAGACGCGGUCCAGACUCCUGCGGGAGGCAGCAGUAGGGAAUCUUCCGCAAUGGGCGAAAGCCUGACGGAGCAACGCCGAGUGAGUGAAGAAGGUCUUCGGAUCGUAAAACUCUGUUAUUAGGGAAGAACAAAUGUGUAAGUAACUAUGCACGUCUUGACGGUACCUAAUCAGAAAGCCACGGCUAACUACGUG